AACGAACGCUGGCGGCAGGCUUAACACAUGCAAGUCGAGCGCCCCGCAAGGGGAGCGGCAGACGGGUGAGUAACGCGUGGGAAUCUACCUUUUGCUACGGAAUAACGCAGGGAAACUUGUGCUAAUACCGUAUGUGUCCUUCGGGAGAAAGAUUUAUCGGCAAGAGAUGAGCCCGCGUUGGAUUAGCUAGUUGGUGGGGUAAAGGCCUACCAAGGCGACGAUCCAUAGCUGGUCUGAGAGGAUGAUCAGCCACAUUGGGACUGAGACACGGCCCAAACUCCUACGGGAGGCAGCAGUGGGGAGUAUUGGACAAUGGGCGCAAGCCUGAUCCAGCCAUGCCGCGUGAGUGAUGAAGGCCCUAGGGUUGUAAAGCUCUUUCACCGGAGAAGAUAAUGACGGUAUCCGGAGAAGAAGCCCCGGCUAACUUCGUGCCAGCAGCCGCGGUAA
This 447-nucleotide ribosomal RNA is filed under the name uncultured Hyphomicrobiales bacterium. Its description in RNAcentral is "bacterial SSU rRNA". It matches the Rfam family "Bacterial small subunit ribosomal RNA", at positions 29 to 523 of the family's 1533-position model. Lineage: Bacteria; Pseudomonadati; Pseudomonadota; Alphaproteobacteria; Hyphomicrobiales. The record is from RNAcentral.